RNAcentral lists this ribosomal RNA (518 nucleotides) under uncultured delta proteobacterium. RNAcentral describes it as "bacterial SSU rRNA". It matches the Rfam family "Bacterial small subunit ribosomal RNA", at positions 24 to 523 of the family's 1533-position model. Lineage: Bacteria; Deltaproteobacteria. The record is from RNAcentral.
UCAGAGCGAACGUUAGCGGCGGGCCUAACACAUGCAAGUCGAGCGAGAAAGUGGCUUCGGCCAUCAGUAAGCGGCGGACGGGUGAGUGAACACGUAGGUAAUCUUCCCUUGAGCGGGGGACAACGAGCCGAAAGGCUCGCUAAUAGCCGCAUACGUUUCUCGGACUCUGGUCUGAAGAAGGAAAGCUAGGCCGCAAGGUCCGGCACUCGAGGAGGAGCCUGCGUCGCAUCAGCUAGUUGGUGGGGUAACGGCCUACCAAGGCGAAGACGCGUAGCUGGUCUGAGAGGAUGAUCAGCCACACUGGGACUGAGACACGGCCCAGACUCCUACGGGAGGCAGCAGUGGGGGAAUAUUGGACAAUGGGCGCAAGCCUGAUCCAGCCACGCCGCGUGAGUGAUGAAGGCCUUCGGGUCGUAAAGCUCUGUGGGGAGGGACGAACCGCCGGUGGUUCAUAGCCAACGGCAUGACGGUACCUCCUUAGCAAGCACCGGCUAACUUCGUGCCAGCAGCCGCGGUAA